UACGGGGGGGGCAAGCGUUGUUCGGAAUUACUGGGCGUAAAGGGCUCGUAGGCGGCCAACUAAGUCGGACGUGAAAUCCCUCGGCUUAACCGGGGAACUGCGUCCGAUACUGGAUGGCUUGAGUUCGGGAGAGGGAUGCGGAAUUCCAGGUGUAGCGGUGAAAUGCGCAGAUAUCUGGAGGAACACCGGUGGCGAAGGCGGCAUCCUGGACCGACACUGACGCUGAGGAGCGAAAGCCAGGGGAGCAAACGGG
Molecule: ribosomal RNA, 253 nt
Filed under: uncultured bacterium
Lineage: Bacteria
Description: partial 16S ribosomal RNA
Rfam family: Bacterial small subunit ribosomal RNA
Source: RNAcentral